UUAGGGCUUUUAUGUUCCAUCUUUUUGUUUGAUCGGUCAAAGCCUCAAAGGGAACGAAAGAUGAACAAAUACGAAAGCAGAUAGAAUGCACGAACGAAUCGUCGGCAGCCAAGAAGGAAGCACGAAGGCAGGGUUCCUUUUUGGUCCGAUGUUUGUCGAUCUAUCGCAAGGAGGGGGUGAAGCAUCUCCGAUUCUUGUGCUUUUCUGAUCGGGGAUGGGAAGGACUCGAUCGAAGCAGGGAAACAGACGAACAAGACUACCGACGGUGACUGACGAUCGCGAGGGGGAGGAUGGCAUCUAAGGGGUCGACGAGGCCGAAGAAAGAAUGUGGGAAGAAGCAGCGAGGCUGCUCGUGAUCUCGGUGGAAGCAGCGAGGCGCUGCUCAAGCAGUUUCUCGGCUGCUUGCUUCAGUCCCGAUAGCGGGGUGCGAAGGGAAAUGCAAGUGUGAGGGGCGAGGGGCAAGGCCAGAAGAGGGGGUCUCGUGGGAGGAAACUAACAGCAGUAGUAGUUCGAGUGGGGUGUUUCGCAGCGGAGCUCGUCGAGAUGGAAGGCAUGAUGCGACGGAGGCUGCUCCGGCACUCUCCCUGUUGCUUCUGGUUUUCUUUUACUCUUUUUUUUUUUUUUUUUUUUAAAAUCAAUGGGACUUUGGUGUGUGUUUGGGUUUGAUUUUUGACAGGAAAAAGAAGGAAGAAAUCACUAGGUGUUUGGCUUUGUUGUGUUCGUCGUGAGAAAGAGGGGAAGGAAACGAGGCUGCUGCCUCUUGGCUUUCAUAGGGAAAGAAAAGGAAGAGGGGAGAGGAGCUGAACAAGGUGACGAAUUCAGGAGUGUUUGUGGGUUUGAAUUUGAUGUUUCAUUUGUGGGUUUGAUGUUUCGGGAGUGUUUCAUUUGGGUUUGACAGCUUCAAUUGAGAAAGGAAACCCGUUUCCUUUCCUUUGUGGUUUUGUCUAAAAAAUGUUUUACUUUGUGUGAGGUUUUGGUUAAGUUGAAAUGUGAAACUGUGAAAGAAAAUAAUGGCUUUUAAUUUGUUUUCUUUAUAA
Lactuca sativa (garden lettuce) is the source of this 1037-nucleotide long non-coding RNA. RefSeq lists it as uncharacterized. Lineage: Eukaryota; Viridiplantae; Streptophyta; Magnoliopsida; Asterales; Asteraceae. The record is from RefSeq and is a predicted model, not a curated record.